AAAACCUCCAAACUGUAAUAUAAUGUAAGUUCAAGAAAUGUAUAACAGUACAUCUUUGUAGCUAGCUAGUUUAGAAAUUCUUGUUUACAGGAAUAUCAGUGGCAUUUACCUUGUAUUACAGCUUAGAUGAGGUCUUGUAUUACAGCUUAGAUGCAGGAUAUUUAUGACAUUGUAAAAUUGCCUAAAAAAUGCAUCUAAGCUGUAAUACAAGACCUCAU
Molecule: unclassified non-coding RNA, 218 nt
Filed under: Hevea brasiliensis (rubber tree)
Lineage: Eukaryota; Viridiplantae; Streptophyta; Magnoliopsida; Malpighiales; Euphorbiaceae
Source: RNAcentral